AUUUUAUUUAUUUUUAAUCCAGGAAAAACUUAACAGAGUAAGCCAUAUUAAUCCCUGAUCAUUACAUCAAACCCCAUACAACCAGCUGAAGACUUACAGUGUUAAGUGAAAAAAUCUGGAUACAAAUACAAGAUGAAAGUGAAGCAAGUCUAACAAUCCAACACCACAAUCAGCAAACUUAAUUAGUAGACAUUCUACCAAGUCCCUGACAUAUAGAUUAUUCAAAAAUUAAAAGUCAUUUUACUAUUAAUAAAUAUUGAAAUUAUGAAGUACACCAGUUUUGGGCCUUUUGGCCAUAGGAGAUUUCUUCCACUGGAUUCGGCUGCCCCUAGACAAGCUAAAUUCCGCAUAUUCCACCCUACAGAGUCUCCAGUUAAUUUGUAGUUUGUUUACCAUCAGGUGUCCUCCAUGGAAAACAACCAACAUGCUGUUGUAAACGUUUAUUGAAUCAACCACUGGUCAUAUGUGAGUUGAAAGAGUUUCAGAACUCACUAAUACUUAGCAAGCUGGUGGAGAAUGGCAGCAAGUUGAAGUUCCUCCAAGUCCAAGAGACAGGACUAUCGCAUUACUUCAUAAACACUUGAAGGAAUAACCUGAGGACUUGGGAAGUAUUAACUUGUAGAAGUACUUGGUUACACUUUGCUGAUGCAAAGGAACGUACGUAACUAGCAAAACUGUAAAGGUUUCUUCUAAUCACCGUUGGUAGAGGCCAUUCUGUUGGAUCUGUGUGAAGUUUACUUGAAUAUUUGGGAUGUGGGAAAUCUUGUGCCAAUCCUCAACCAUGUUGUUUCUCCAUGUUUCAUCCAGUCUGGAAAAAGCAUAGAUAGAUAGAUACUGUAAUCCUGUGAGAUUUGCCAUCCACUCUGGUAAAGACAUCAAAUUAUCACACCUUUCAAUUAUGAGAGUUUGCAAAGCAGCAACAUGUUGAAGCCCAUUUGGAAGAGCCACCAAUUCUGGAAUGCCAACCAAGCUAAGAGUGCGGAGGCUUUGAAGGCAUUUCCAUUGCUCAUUGUUAUCAUUUUCAUCUUCAGAUGCAGUAGUACUCAACCUCGAGCAGUCAAAAAUACUCACUUCUUGAAGAGAAGUGAAGCUUGGCAGAAGCUCCACUGGUAGAAAUUCCAAAUCCUCAAUUUCCCAAAUUGUCAAGCUUUUCAAUUGAGACACAGCAGGGGAAAAUGAAAAUGGAUGAGAAGAAGAAGAGCUGGAACCUGAGACUGAAAUUGUCAACUUCAGUAUCUGCUCCAAUGACCUCAUGCUAGCAUUCUCCAAUCUCAGUUUCUCAAGACAUGGUAAAGGUGGAAUUGAAGUCAGGUUACGGCAAGAAUGAAUCUCCAAGUCAGAAAGACAAGGAAAUGGAAGCAGUUCUGCUGCAGAUCUAUUAUCCCUGUUGCAUCUCUGCCAUCCCUUUAGAUUUGGGCAAUUUCUGAGUAAAAGAUGCUUUAGGGAAGGGAAGAAUAAUGUGGAUUCUCCUUCAGUAUCUAUGUACUCUAGAUUAGUUGAUUCUUCAAUUUCUAAACCUUCGAGAGAGGGGAGUAUAUCCAAUGAUGGGAGAUGUUGGAUGUUUUUGCAGUUAAGGAAAGAAAUGCUUAUCAAAUUAACGAGGGAAGGAAACCAACUUGGAGACUUCACUCCUCUGUAAUCCCACAAAAGCAACCCUCUCAGAUUUUGGUGUGGCCUUAAAUUCUCCAAUGACAUUUCAUCAAUAUCAACAUCAUUUGCAACAUCAUCAAUAUCAUUUUCAAGUUGACUCCAAUCUAAACUCAAGAGCUGAAGGUGUUGCUUCUCUUUCAAA
RNAcentral lists this unclassified non-coding RNA (1792 nucleotides) under Hevea brasiliensis (rubber tree). The record is from RNAcentral. Lineage: Eukaryota; Viridiplantae; Streptophyta; Magnoliopsida; Malpighiales; Euphorbiaceae.